Molecule: ribosomal RNA, 1972 nt
Filed under: human gut metagenome
Description: bacterial LSU rRNA
Rfam family: Bacterial large subunit ribosomal RNA
Source: RNAcentral
GAAAGUAAAAAAGGGCGCAUGGCGGAUGCCUUGGCUCUCGGAGGCGAUGAAGGACGUGAUAAGCUGCGAUAAGCUUUGGGGAGGUGCAAAUGACCUUUGAUCCAGAGAUUUCCGAAUGGGACAACCCAAUAUCUUGAAGAGGUAUUAUCUUACUAUGUAAGAGGCUAACGCAGGGAACUGAAACAUCUUAGUACCUGCAGGAAAAGAAAAUAAACAAUGAUUCCCCUAGUAGUGGCGAGCGAACGGGGAACAGCCCAAACCAUCCAUGUUACGGCAUGGGUGGGGUUGUAGGACUACGCCGUUGCAUGAAGACAUCAGAGAAGAACUUUCUGGAAAGAAAGACCAUAGAGCAUGACAGUUGCGUAUUCGAAUGUUGUCGAAGCAUAGUAGUAUCCUGAGUAGCGCGGAGCACGAGGAAUUCUGCGUGAAUCUGCCGGGACCAUCCGGUAAGGCUAAAUACUCCCGAGAGACCGAUAGCGAACCAGUACCGUGAGGGAAAGGUGAAAAGCACUUCGAACAGAAGAGUGAAAUAGUUCCUGAAACCGUGCGCCUACAAGCGGUCGGAGCUCGUUAAUGAGUGACGGCGUGCCUUUUGCAUAAUGAACCUACGAGUUGCCUUUGCCGGCAAGGUUAAGUGUGACGACACACGUAUCCGAAGCGAAAGCGAGUCUGAACAGGGCGUAUAGUCGGCAGUGGCAGACGCGAAACCAAGUGAUCUACCCUUGGCCAGGUUGAAGGCUGGGUAACACCAGCUGGAGGACCGCACCAAUAAGCGUUGAAAAGCUUCUGGAUGAGCUGAGGGUAGGGGUGAAAGGCUAAUCAAACUUGGAGAUAGCUCGUACUCCCCGAAAUGCAUUUAGGUGCAGCCUUGCGGGUUACUGAUGUGAGGUAGAGCGACUGAUAAGAUGCGAGGGCUUCACCGCCUAUCAAGUCUUGACAAACUCCGAAUGCGCAUCAGUUCUACCGCAGGAGUGAGGGCAUGGGUGCUAAGGUCCGUGCCCGAGAGGAGAAGAAUCCGGACCACCUGCUAAGGUCCCGAAAUGACAGCUAAGUUAAACUAACGAAGUCUGACUGCUAAGACAGCUAGGAUGUUGGCUUGGAAGCAGCCAUUCAUUUAAAGAGUGCGUAACAGCUCACUAGUCGAGGAGUCGGGCGUGGAUAAUAAUCGGGUAUCAAGUUGUCUACCGAAGCAGUGGGAUCAUUUAUAUGAUCGGUAGGGGAGCAUUCCAGUCAGCGUCGAAGGCGUACCGUGAGGUAUUCUGGAGCGUCUGGAAAAGCAAAUGUAGGUAUAAGUAACGAUAAAGGGGGCGGGAAACCCCCUCGCCGAAAGACUAAGGUUUCCUGAUCAACGCUAAUCGGAUCAGGGUCAGUCGGGUCCUAAGGCUCAGCCGAACGGCGAUGCCGAUGGCAGAAACGGUUAAUAUUCCGUUACUACCUUCAGGAGUGACGUGGAGACGCAGUAGUGACAGUGCCGCCAUCUGACGGAAUAGAUGGUUGAAGGGUGUAGGAGUCGAUCAUGGCAGGCAAAUCCACCAUGAGAUCCGAACCUGACAGUAUGCCGCGUCCUUCGGGACAAGGCAAUAGUGCGCGUAAGCAUGCUGCCGAGAAAAUCCGCUAAACUUAAUCCUGCAGGUACCCGUACCGCAAACGGACACACGUAGUCGGGAUGAAUAUUCUAAGGCGCUUGAGUGAUUCACGGUUAAGGAACUAGGCAAACUGACCCUGUAACUUCGGGAUAAAGGGUCCCUACCCUUUUAUGGGAGGGCGCAGAGAAUCGGUCCAGGCAACUGUUUAACAAAAACACAGGGCUGUGCCAAAUCGAAAGAUCCAGUAUACAGCCUGACACCUGCCCGGUGCUGGAAGGUUAAGAGGAGAUGUCAUCGAUGAGAGAAGCGUUGAAUUGAAGCCCCAGUAAACGGCGGCCGUAACUAUAACGGUCCUAAGGUAGCGAAAUUCCUUGUCGGGUAAGUUC